This 64-nucleotide transfer RNA is filed under the name Papilio macilentus. Its description in RNAcentral is "tRNA-Phe". Lineage: Eukaryota; Metazoa; Arthropoda; Insecta; Lepidoptera; Papilionidae. The record is from RNAcentral.
AUUUAAAUAGCUUAUAAAGAGUAUAAUAUUGAAGAUAUUAAGGAGAUUGAUAAAUCUUUAGAUA